RNAcentral lists this long non-coding RNA (378 nucleotides) under Numida meleagris (helmeted guineafowl). RNAcentral's name for it is "lncRNA (ENSNMEG00000006334.1)". The record is from RNAcentral. Lineage: Eukaryota; Metazoa; Chordata; Aves; Galliformes; Numididae.
GCCCUCACGUGUCCCACCAUGGCUUCACGUGUCCUACCAUGACCUCACGUGGCCCACCACAGCUUCACGUGUCCUACCAUGGCUUCACGUGUCCUAUCAUGGCUUCACAUGUUCUACCAUGGCUUCAUGUGUCCCACCACCACCUCGCGUGUCCCACCAGGGCCUCACGUGUUCUACCAUGGCUUCACAUGUCCUACCGUGGCCUCACAUGUUCUACCACGGCUUCACAUGCCCCACCACGGCUUCAUGUCUCAACACCAUGGCUUCACAUGUUCUACCAUGGCUUCACGUGUCCUACCAUGGCUUCACAUGUUCUGCCAUGGCCUCACAUGUCCCACCAUGGCUUCACGUGUCCCACCACGGCUUCAUGUGUCCCAC